This 130-nucleotide small nucleolar RNA is filed under the name Nannospalax galili (Upper Galilee mountains blind mole rat). RNAcentral's name for it is "Small nucleolar RNA SNORA33 (ENSNGAG00000005088.1)". It matches the Rfam family "Small nucleolar RNA SNORA33". From Rfam's summary of the family: ACA33 is a member of the H/ACA class of snoRNA that guide the sites of modification of uridines to pseudouridines. Lineage: Eukaryota; Metazoa; Chordata; Mammalia; Rodentia; Spalacidae. The record is from Rfam by way of RNAcentral.
AAGCCAGCCAACUGAUCUUCUGAUCUGAAUGUAUAUCUGCAGAGAGCUAGAAAAGCUGGCAAUAGAUAAGCCAUGUUACAAGCCUUAAGAACACCUAUAGUCAUUGAGGUUCCCGAGAAUGGCUAUAAUA